Molecule: ribosomal RNA, 402 nt
Filed under: uncultured bacterium
Lineage: Bacteria
Description: bacterial SSU rRNA
Rfam family: Bacterial small subunit ribosomal RNA
Source: RNAcentral
AACGAACGCUGGCGGCAGGCCUAACACAUGCAAGUCGAACGCCGUAGCAAUACGGAGUGGCGAACGGGUGAGUAACGCGUGGGUGACCUACCUUCGAGUGGGGGAUAACGUCCCGAAAGGGACGCUAAUACCGCAUAACAUCCUGCUUUUGAAUGGGUGGAGAUCAAAGCCGGGGAUCGCAAGACCUGGCGCUUGAUGAGGGGGCCCNCGUCUGAUUAGCUAGUUGGUGAGGAACGGCCCACCAAGGCAACGAUCAGUAUCCGGCCUGAGAGGGCGACCGGGCCACACUGGGACUGAGACACGGCCCAGACUCCUACGGGAGGCAGCAGUGGGGAAUCUUGCGCAAUGGGCGAAAGCCUGACGCAGCGACGCCGCGUGAGGGAUGACGGCCUGGUGUAACGU